This is a long non-coding RNA of Oncorhynchus keta (chum salmon), 1451 nucleotides long. RefSeq lists it as uncharacterized. The transcript has 4 exons. The record is from RefSeq and is a predicted model, not a curated record. Lineage: Eukaryota; Metazoa; Chordata; Actinopteri; Salmoniformes; Salmonidae.
UAAAUGUUCCCUACAGACACAGGGCAGCAGAUGUUAUCAUAGGGGCAGCUAAAUGUUCCCUACAGACACAGGGCAGCAGAUGUUAUCAUAGGGGCAGCUAAAUGUUCCCUACAGACACAGGGCAGGAGAUGUUAUCAUAGGUGCAGCUAAAUGUUCCCUACAGACACAGGGCAGCAGAUGUUAUCGUAGGUGCAGCUAAAUGUUCCCUACAGACACAGGGCAGGAGAUGUUAUCGUAGGUGCAGCUAAAUGUUCCCUACAGACACAGGGCAGCAGAUGUUAUCAUAGGGGCAGCUAAAUGUUCCCUACAGACACAGGGCAGCAGAUGUUAUCGUAGGUGCAGCUAAAUGUUCCCUACAGACACAGGGCAGCAGAUGUUAUCGUAGGUGCAGCUAAAUGUUCCCUACAGACACAGGGCAGCAGAUGUUAUCAUAGGUGCAGCUAAAUGUUCCCUACAGACACAGGGCAGCAGAUGUUAUCGUAGGUGCAGCUAAAUGUUCCCUACAGACACAGGGCAGCAGAUGUUAUCGUAGGUGCAGCUAAAUGUUCCCUACAGACACAGGGCAGCAGAUGUUAUCGUAGGUGCAGCUAAAUGUUCCCUACAGACACAGGGCAGCAGAUGUUAUCGUAGGUGCAGCUAAAUGUUCCCUACAGACACAGGGCAGGAGAUGUUAUCGUAGGGGCAGCUAAAUGUUCCCUACAGACACAGGGCAGCAGAUGUUAUCGUAGGUGCAGCUAAAUGUUCCCUACAGACACAGGGCAGGAGAUGUUAUCGUAGGUGCAGCUAAAUGUUCCCUACAGACACAGGGCAGCAGAUGUUAUCGUAGGUGCAGCUAAAUGUUCCCUACAGACACAGGGCAGCAGAUGUUAUCAUAGGUGCAGCUAAAUGUUCCCUACAGACACAGGGCAGCAGAUGUUAUCGUAGGUGCAGCUAAAUGUUCCCUACAGACACAGGGCAGCAGAUGUUAUCGUAGGUGCAGCUAAAUGUUCCCUACAGACACAGGGCAGCAGAUGUUAUCGUAGGUGCAGCUAAAUGUUCCCUACAGACACAGGGCAGCAGAUGUUAUCGUAGGUGCAGCUAAAUGUUCCCUACAGACACAGGGCAGCAGAUGUUAUCGUAGGUGCAGCUAAAUGUUCCCUACAGACACAGGGCAGCAGAUGUUAUCGUAGGUGCAGCUAAAUGUUCCCUACAGACACAGGGCAGCAGAUGUUAUCGUAGGUGCAGCUAAAUGUUCCCUACAGACACAGGGCAGCAGAUGUUAUCGUAGGUGCAGCUAAAUGUUCCCUACAGACACAGGGCAGCAGAUGUUAUCGUAGGUGCAGCUAAAUGUUCCCUACAGACACAGGGCAGCAGAUGUUAUCGUAGGUGCAGCUAAAUGUUCCCUACAGACACAGGGCAGCAGAUGUUAUCGUAGGUGCAGCUAAAUGUUCCCUACAGACACAGGGCAGCAG